UGCAAGCUGCAGGAAGAAUUCGAGCAGGGCAGGGGAGGUUUAGGAGCAGAGGCGCAGCAGGAGCCCGGGGCAGCGCUUGCCUGUUUCCUCCCAGGCUGCGGUGGUGAGCGCGGCAGGGCGGGUGUUUAUGCGCGUCCUAGCAACCGCACGCGCUGGUGUACCGGUGCCCGGCGACACUGCAGAGUACUGCUCUUGCUUUUGGGAUUGUCCCAGAGUCUAAGGCAUUCUUAGGGCUCCAGCUAAUGCUCUACAGAGGUUGUCCAUUGCUGGGCUCCUUGUCGUUGAAUGAGAAAAGGAAUCUACAUAGAUUUAAAUUGCGUGUUCUGAGCUUGACUCAGAGUAUUAACAGACCCAUGGGUGUGGCGUUGACCAGAUCCGCACAGUGGACUGCCGAGGGGUACGAGACAGGAACCCUGGAGAUCACCCCUCUGAACGAGUCAAUAUUGAAUGAAAUUACUAAGUUUAUGGAGUCUUUUAUUCAUAAAUAUCCCCAAGAGGCAAAAUUUGUUUUUGUAGAACCACUCGAGUGGGAAACAAAUUUGGAGCCCUCAGCAUUUGAAUCAGGUUAUAU
This is a long non-coding RNA of Mesocricetus auratus (golden hamster), 571 nucleotides long. RefSeq lists it as uncharacterized. The record is from RefSeq and is a predicted model, not a curated record. The transcript is spliced from 3 exons. NCBI's taxonomy places the organism in Eukaryota, Metazoa, Chordata, Mammalia, Rodentia, Cricetidae.